This 597-nucleotide ribosomal RNA is filed under the name Epyris sp. 3 MC-2010. RNAcentral's name for it is "eukaryotic LSU rRNA". Lineage: Eukaryota; Metazoa; Arthropoda; Insecta; Hymenoptera; Bethylidae. The record is from RNAcentral.
AAAGAUCGAAUGGGGAGAUUCAUCAUCAACGAAGCUGGCUUCGCGAUGGCUCGUGAUGUCCAUCGGGAUUUCGGUCCUGUGUGGCACGCGGUCGUUGCGUUGCGUCUGGCUACGUCGGCGUGCACUUCUCCCCUAGUAGAACGUCGCGACCCGUUGGGUGCCGGUCUUACGGCCUGGGUGGACGCCUGGUUGCUUUACUGCGCCAGACCCCCGUGUUGCCAAUGAAUCCGGCUGCCCGGCGGUACUCCGAAUGGUAUCAGGCCGCAUAUUUGAACUGCGUCGGGCCCAUUUUGUCCGCGGAUCAGCGCUCGGUGGUUACGGACCUAGUGCCGUCCCCGUGCCUGACUCGCGCAUGGCAAGUGGUGUCCUCCGACAGGCCAUGCACUCGAAUGAAGGAUACCGGUCGGCGACGCUACUGCUUUGGGUAAUCUCAGGACCCGUCUUKAAACACGGACCAAGGAGUCUAACAUGUGCGCGAGUCAUUGGGACCGCAUGCCUAAAGGCGAAAUGAAAGUGAAGGUCGGCCUUAGCGCCGACCGAGGGAGGAUGGGCCGCGUUACGAUGCGGCUUCGCACUCCCGGGGCGUCUCGUUCUCAU